RNAcentral lists this ribosomal RNA (595 nucleotides) under Epinephelus itajara (Atlantic goliath grouper). Its description in RNAcentral is "partial 16S ribosomal RNA". It matches the Rfam family "Bacterial large subunit ribosomal RNA", at positions 1809 to 2609 of the family's 2925-position model. Lineage: Eukaryota; Metazoa; Chordata; Actinopteri; Perciformes; Serranidae. The record is from RNAcentral.
AAAAACAUCGCCUCUUGCUAAACCAAAAGUAUAAGAGGUCCCGCCUGCCCUGUGACUAUAUGUUUAACGGCCGCGGUAUUUUGACCGUGCGAAGGUAGCGCAAUCACUUGUCUUUUAAAUGGGGACCUGUAUGAAUGGCAUAACGAGGGCUUAACUGUCUCCUUUUUCAAGUCAGUGAAAUUGAUCUCCCCGUGCAGAAGCGGGGAUAGGCACAUAAGACGAGAAGACCCUGUGGAGCUUCAGACACUAAAGCAGAUCAGUAUUAAUACCCUGAACAUAAGGCACGAAUAAGAUGAUUCCUGCCCUAAUGUCUUCGGUUGGGGCGACCGCGGAGAAAUAUAUAACCCCCGCAAGGACUGAAUGUACUACAUUCACAACCAAGAGUGACAACUCUAAUUAACAGAACUUCUGACCAAUAAGAUCCGGCAAUGCCGAUUAAUGAACCAAGUUACCCCAGGGAUAACAGCGCAAUCUCCUCUUAGAGUCCAUAUCGACGAGGAGGUUUACGACCUCGAUGUUGGAUCAGGACAUCCUAAUGGUGCAACCGCUAUUAAGGGUUCGUUUGUUCAACGAUUAAAGUCCUACGUGAUCUGAG